GUGGGUUAUGGAGAUUUGUCUCCAAAAACAUUUCUGGGAAAGAUCACGUGCUGUGUGUGUGCACUAUGUGGAAUAUUCAUGAUGUCAAUGAUUAUUCCAAUUUUUGUUGAUAC
Molecule: small RNA, 113 nt
Filed under: Mytilus galloprovincialis (Mediterranean mussel)
Lineage: Eukaryota; Metazoa; Mollusca; Bivalvia; Mytilida; Mytilidae
Source: RNAcentral